GACGAACGCUGGCGGCGUGCUUAACACAUGCAAGUGGAGCGACGAACCAGGGCUUGCCCUGGGGCAAAGCCGCGAACGGGUGAGUAACACGUGGGUAACCUGCCCCGAUGACCGGGACAACCCGAGGAAACUCGGGCUAAUACCGGAUGAGCUCACGCCACAUCAGUGGCAUGAGGAAAGGAAGCUUCGGCCUCCGCAUUGGGAUGGGCCCGCGGCCCAUUAGCUUGUUGGGGGGUAAAGGCCUACCAAGGCUUCGAUGGGUAGCUGGUCUGAGAGGACGAUCAGCCACACUGGGACUGAGACACGGCCCAGACUCCUACGGGAGGCAGCAGUGGGGAAUCUUGCGCAAUGCGCGAAAGCGUGACGCAGCAACGCCGCGUGC
This 382-nucleotide ribosomal RNA is filed under the name uncultured bacterium. Its description in RNAcentral is "bacterial SSU rRNA". It matches the Rfam family "Bacterial small subunit ribosomal RNA", at positions 28 to 404 of the family's 1533-position model. The record is from RNAcentral.